This 73-nucleotide transfer RNA is filed under the name Malawimonas jakobiformis. Its description in RNAcentral is "tRNA-Met". It matches the Rfam family "tRNA". Rfam says of the family: Transfer RNA (tRNA) molecules are approximately 80 nucleotides in length. Their secondary structure includes four short double-helical elements and three loops (D, anti-codon, and T loops). Further hydrogen bonds mediate the characteristic L-shaped molecular structure. tRNAs have two regions of fundamental functional importance: the anti-codon, which is responsible for specific mRNA codon recognition, and the 3' end, to which the tRNAs corresponding amino acid is attached (by aminoacyl-tRNA synthetases). tRNAs cope with the degeneracy of the genetic code in two manners: having more than one tRNA (with a specific anti-codon) for a particular amino acid; and 'wobble' base-pairing, i.e. permitting non-standard base-pairing at the 3rd anti-codon position. Lineage: Eukaryota; Malawimonada; Malawimonadea; Malawimonadida; Malawimonadidae. The record is from RNAcentral.
CGUGAUAUGGAGCAGUAGGUAGCUCGCCGGGCUCAUAACCCGGAGGUCGAGGGUUCGAGUCCCCCUAUCACCG